Long non-coding RNA from Oncorhynchus tshawytscha (Chinook salmon), 505 nucleotides. The record is from Ensembl. NCBI's taxonomy places the organism in Eukaryota, Metazoa, Chordata, Actinopteri, Salmoniformes, Salmonidae.
UCCUAUCUAACUGGGAGUCUCCUGAGUGGAAGCAUAUAAAGUUCUUCAAAGCUCUUCCUCUCCAAAUCUCAGGUGGAGCAACAACAAUAGGAGCACCUUGGGUUUAUCUCCAUCUCCAUAUCACUGCAGAUUAAACAGGCUGAAUUAGACUGAGCUCAGUCCAUCCGUGGUGAGAGAAGAUGGGGAGAAUAUGGAAUUGGUCCAACGAGUGUGGGCUUCACAGCGGAUUUUGGGUGGGCCCCACGAUGCUGCUCUGUGUCUAUGGCUUCAGCUCAAUAAUGAGGCUCUCUGAGCCUAUCCUCACAGGCUACCUCAAUGGGUCAUACAAGAACCUUACCACCCAACAGGUUCCAGAUAGCCUGAGGCUUCAGCAGGGAACGCUAUGUCCUGGUGUUUGGUGUCAACAGCUUUGCUGUUUCUCAUCAGAGAAGUGUAUAAUCUUAUUCUUUGCAGCCGAUUGGUGGAGCGCAUCCCAGCUGAGUGUUUAUCAAAGAGAAGAACUGAC